UCUUCACCGACGGGGACGACCCUGAGCUCGAGCUCCAGGGCGGUGGCCGUGUCAUCAACACCAACUGCUCGGCGGUGCGCACCCGUCAGGCCCUCUGCUGCAAGAUGUCCGUGGAGUACGACAAGUUCAUUGAGUCCGGGCGCAAGUGGUUCUGCCACGUGGAUGACGACAAUUAUGUGAACCCCAGGAGCCUCCUGCAUCUGCUCUCCAGCUUCUCACCCAGCCAGGACGUCUACCUGGGGCGGCCCAGCCUGGACCACCCCAUCGAGGCCACCGAGAGGGUCCAGGGUGGCAGAACUGUGACUACGGUGAAGUUCUGGUUUGCUACUGGUGGGGCCGGUUUCUGCCUCAGCAGAGGCCUUGCUCUCAAGAUGAGCCCAUGGGCCAGGUGAGUGGGGGUCCAGCUGCCUGGGCUGGGAGGCGGAGGCUGAGACCUGAAAGGUGCUGACCGGCCUCCCCCCAGCCUGGGCAGCUUCAUGAGCACAGCUGAGCAGGUGCGGCUGCCGGAUGACUGCACAGUGGGCUACAUCGUGGAGGGACUCCUGGGCGCCCGCCUGCUGCACAGCGCCCUCUUCCACUCUCACCUGGAGAACCUGCAGAGGCUGCCGCCGGACACCCUGCUCCAGCAGGUUACCUUGAGCUAUGGGGGUCCUGAGAACCCACAUAACGUAGUGAACGUGGCUGGAGGCUUCAGCCUGCAUCAGGACCCCACACGGUUUAAGUCUAUCCACUGCCUUCUCUACCCAGACACGGACUGGUGUCCCAGGCAGAAGCAGGGCGCCCCGACCUCUCGGUGACACCAACCACCCCUGACCCAGGGCUGCCUGGCUCUGUCCCAGGCGCGGGGAGCCAGAGCCCCCUAUGGCCUCGGUGGGCUCCCUCAGAUGCCAUGGCUACACCAGUGAGAUGCAGGCACCUGGCAGACCCUCUGGCUAACCUGCAGCCCCCCCCUCCCAGCCCCUGGUGGGCUGCGGUGAUGGGUGUUUUGGGAGAACGAAGACAGCUAGGCUGAUGGCCAGGGCCGCAGUGCCCCUCCCCCCGACCCAGCCGCAGAGUUGAUCCCAUGGGAACAGGCUUC
RNAcentral lists this small RNA (1078 nucleotides) under Pongo abelii (Sumatran orangutan). Its description in RNAcentral is "retained intron". Lineage: Eukaryota; Metazoa; Chordata; Mammalia; Primates; Hominidae. The record is from RNAcentral.